RNAcentral lists this ribosomal RNA (253 nucleotides) under uncultured bacterium. RNAcentral describes it as "partial 16S ribosomal RNA". It matches the Rfam family "Bacterial small subunit ribosomal RNA", at positions 524 to 776 of the family's 1533-position model. The record is from RNAcentral.
UACGUAGGGGGCAAGCGUUAUCCGGAUUUACUGGGUGUAAAGGGAGCGUAGGCGGCAAUACAAGUCGGAAGUGAAAUACCCGGGCUCAACCUGGGAACUGCUUUGGAAACUGUAUGGCUGGAGUGCUGGAGAGGUAAGCGGAAUUCCUAGUGUAGCGGUGAAAUGCGUAGAUAUUAGGAGGAACACCAGUGGCGAAGGCGGCUUACUGGACAGUAACUGACGUUGAGGCUCGAAAGCGUGGGGAGCAAACAGG